RNAcentral lists this ribosomal RNA (235 nucleotides) under uncultured bacterium. RNAcentral's name for it is "partial 16S ribosomal RNA". It matches the Rfam family "Bacterial small subunit ribosomal RNA", at positions 96 to 334 of the family's 1533-position model. The record is from RNAcentral.
CGGCGGACGGGUGAGUAACGCGUAGGAAUCUACCCGGUAGUGGGGGACAACUUGUGGAAACGCAAGCUAAUACCGCAUACGCCCUAUGGGGGAAAGCGGGGGAUCUUCGGACCUCGCGCUAUCGGAUGAGCCUGCGUGGGAUUAGCUAGUUGGUGGGGUAAAGGCUCACCAAGGCGACGAUCCUUAGCUGGUCUGAGAGGAUGAUCAGCCACACUGGAACUGAGACACGGUCCAG